GACGAACGCUGGCGGCGUGCUUAACACAUGCAAGUCGAACGGAAAGGCCCUGCUUUUGUGGGGUGCUCGAGUGGCGAACUGGUGAGUAACACGUGAGUAACCUGCCCUUGACUUUGGGAUAACUUCAGGAAACUGGGGCUAAUACCGGAUAGGAGCUCCUGCUGCAUGGUGGGGGUUGGAAAGUUUCGGCGGAUGGGGAUGGACUCGCGGCAUAUCAGCUUGUUGGUGGGGUAGUGGCUUACCAAGGCUUUGACGGGUAGCCGGCCUGAGAGGGUGACCGGCCACAUUGGGACUGAGGUACGGCCCCGACUCCUACGGGAGGCAGCAGUGGGGAAUAUUGCAAAAUGGGCGGAAGGCUGAUGCAGCAACGCCGCGUGCGGGAUAACGGCCUUCGGGUUGUAGACCGCUUUCGCCUGUGACGAAGCGUGAGUGACGGUAAUGGGUAAAGAAGCACCGGCUAACUACGUG
RNAcentral lists this ribosomal RNA (468 nucleotides) under uncultured bacterium. RNAcentral describes it as "partial 16S ribosomal RNA". It matches the Rfam family "Bacterial small subunit ribosomal RNA", at positions 28 to 507 of the family's 1533-position model. The record is from RNAcentral.